AAGCUCGUAGUUGAAUUUCGGGAUCAAAUUGUUGGUCGUGCUUCGGUACGCACUGGCAUUAUUGGUUCCUACCUUCUGAAGAACCGCGAUGUCAUUAAUUUGGUGUCGUGGGGAAUCAGGACUGUUACUUUGAAAAAAUUAGAGUGUUUAAAGCAGGCGUACGCUUGAAUACAUUAGCAUGGAAUAAUGAAAUAGGACGUUUGAUUCUAUUUUGUUGGUUUCUAGGAUCGACGUAAUGAUUAAUAGGGAUAGUUGGGGGCAUUAGUAUUCAAUUGUCAGAGGUGAAAUUCUUGGAUUUAUUGAAGACUAACUACUGCGAAAGCAUUUGCCAAGGAUGUUUUCAUUAAUCAAGAACGAAAGUUAGGGGAUCGAAGACGAUCAGAUACCGUCGUAGUCUUAACCAUAAACUAUGCCGACUAGGGAUCGGAUGAUGUUAAUUUUUUAAUGACUCAUUCGGCA
This 459-nucleotide ribosomal RNA is filed under the name uncultured Glomus. Its description in RNAcentral is "SSU rRNA". It matches the Rfam family "Eukaryotic small subunit ribosomal RNA", at positions 624 to 1085 of the family's 1831-position model. Lineage: Eukaryota; Fungi; Glomeromycota; Glomeromycetes; Glomerales; Glomeraceae. The record is from RNAcentral.